CCCAGACAGUCAAAAUAGAAACAUCUGGUGUGAUAUUUAAAUCUAAGAAGAGAGAAAUUUGGUCUGACAUAAAGUUCAAAAAUUUUUCCUCAGAUAAUAGAAGAGAAUUGAAUCUCCACAUUCGUCUGGGAAUCCCAGAAUCUGGAAUGUUCAGUUUAAAUAAAAGGGGAGCAUGAUCUGACACUACUAUGGGUUGGUAUUCACAUGACUGAACAUCUGAUGUCAGUUUAUUAUCAGUAAAAAAAUAGUCAAUUCUACUAUACGUUUGAUGAGCAUUCGAAAAAAAGAAGUACUGUCUGUCUUUUAAGUGCAAAAAACGCCAGGUAUCCAGUAUGCCAUAGGUAGAAAGAAAUGACUGCAUAUAAGUGACAGAUUUAGAAGUUCCAUAUCCCGGCCGAACAGAUGAACGAUCCAUCUCGGGGUCCAGACAAAAAUUAAAAUCCCCGCCCAUAAUAAGCAAAUGUGAAUUUAAACAAGGGAGCAGACUGGUGACGUGAGAAAAAAAAUUUGGGUCGUCGCAGUUUGGAGCAUAUACUUGGUUAAUACAACAUUAACAUUAUAAAGUUUACCGGUUACUAUGACAUACCUUCCAUUUGGGUCAGCUAUGGUUGUGGAGGGAACAAAAGAGACAUUUUUAUUUAUGAGUAUUGCAACGCCUCUAGCUUUAUCCUGAAAGGUUGAAUGGAAAAGCUGCCCCACCCAUCCACAUUUUAUUCGGGCAUUAUCUAAAUUCUUCAGAUGCGUUUCUUGAAUAAAUGCUAUUCCAGCACCCAAAUUUUUAAGGUGUGUAAGGACCUUCUUCCUCUUAACAGGGUGGUUCAGCCCUUUAACAUUCCAAGUGAUAAUAUUCAAUGAGCUAGCCAUUAAAAAUCAAAAGAAGGAGUGUAAACAACAACAAAGAUAAACAUUAAAUCAAGAGGUAUAUUAUUAGAAGCCUUAAUAUUCUGGCAGAGAGGCAAGGUUAACAUAGUGCAAUACUUUGGUGUAUUACCAGCGGCAGUGAGACAGAAUAACCCUUCCCUGAACCCCCAGGUGACACUAGCUGCUAGAACAAACAGUACACCUACACUAACUAUGUGUAAUACUCCCGUGACUAGCUAUCUACGUAAAAAACUCCAUCCCGCCUUAAGAAAUGUAAAACCCACCCGAAUAACAAAUGACUUUGUAAGGCAGCAUCGCUACUGUAAAGUGCGAAUUCAAAAACACUUCUGUAUCAAAACAACAUGGCAAAGGUAAACAUAGCACGGUCCGUGCCACAACAAGCCAAUACUCACUUCUUCAAACUGAGAUAGUCACAUCUGGCAAGCAUCAAAACUAAUCAGUCAAGAGUUUUUAAAGUCUUCAACAAAUUUCUCGGCGUCUACCACAGAGCCGAACGCGAUGCGUAUGCCAUCUUUAUUGACAAUACGAAGCCGCGCAGGGUAUAGCAGCGAAGGCUUCAGCCCCAGUUUGUACAGGUCUGACAUGACCGCCGUGUAUUUCCUCCUCUGACUGACCACCUCUGGGCUGUAAUCCUCGUAGAUCCUGAACGGGUUGUUUUGGUACUUCAACGUGCCCCUUUUCCUGGUCUCCCGGAUCACCAGCUCUUUGUGUUGGUACCGAUGAAAGCAGAUGAUGACAGGUCGUGGUCUGCCGCCGGGACCUAGUUUGGGGGCCAGGCUGCGGUGCGCACGGUCCAGCUCCGGGGGAGAAGGGAAGAUGUCACGUCCAAAAACAUCCUGUAGCAGUUGCGAAAAGAACUUGCUUGGUUGUGGACCUUCACUACUUUCUGCUAUGCCGAUUAAUCUGACAUUACUUCGUCUACUUCUCCCUUCCAAGUCGGUUAGCUUAGCCCUUAGCUUGGUGUUAUCGGCAACAGUCCUCCACUUUAGCCAAACGUUGGCUAAGCGAGUCCGUGUCGCCUUCUAGAGAAUCCAGACGCUCGCCGUGACUAUUAACAGUCUCUUGAAGCCCAUCUAGCUUGUCAUUCACUUGGCCAAAAGAUUUCUUCAACUCGGCAAGCAAUGAUGUCUUUAGGUCGGCGAGCGAGUUUGUUAGAUCAGCUUUGCUAAUGCUGCUAGUAGCAGCAACAGGCUCCUGCUCGGUUUUUUCGCUUGACGUUGCAAGUUUUGGUGGCAUAAUGGGACAAAACACGGCCAGUCAGAGGAAAACGUACUUGAAAAUAAGCGUUGUAAAAAAUAAAAAAUAGAUGGGUAUAGUUAGAGUUAAAAGUUGCGGGAGCUGGUGGAGAACGUGACCUACUCCAUCUUGAACCGGAAGUCUCCAUGGCUGGUGAAAUUAAACUCAACUGCCAAAUGAAUUUGGUUAUUUGGAACAUUGGUGGCUCAGGGGACAAUUACUUUUUCACACAGGGAAAUAGGGGCUGGACAGCAUUUUUCCUUUAAUAAAUGAAAUCACUAUUAGUUGAAUGAUCUGAAAUGUUUAAGUAUGACAAAUACGCAAAAAUAGAAGAUAUUUGUAGCAGGCAAAUACUUUUCCAUAGCACUGUAACUCCUUUAUUGGGGAUUAACUGUACACUCUAAAGUUGUACAUCACAGUCCUCAUAAACUUAGAUGUUUCCUAUCAUUAGUCAACCCAAACUAUGAGGUCAAAAUUUAACAUGAAAGAUUUGGGGAAAAUAUCUUACUUUUUGGGCAUUCAGCUUGAACAUAAGGGAGAAGAAAUCAAAAUGAAUCAGACAAGGUACAUUAUAAAAAUGCUUGAAAAAUGCUUGAAAGGUUUGGAAUGUUAGAAUGCAAACCCAGAUCCACCCCAUGUGAACAAAAGUUGGUGGGAGACAAAAAUGAAGAGGGCAUCAUAAAUGAUGUUAAUCCUAAAGAGUAUCGAGAGAUUGUAGGCAGUCUAAUAUAUGCCAUGACAUGUACCAGACCAGACAUCAGUUGGGUGGUAAGCAAACUAUCCCAAACUCUAGCAAACCCAAAAACAGAAAACUUAGUAGCCGCUAAACACGUCUUGAGAUACUUAAAAGGUACAAGUGACUAUGGACUAACUUUCAAGAAAAGUAAAGAGGAUUUGAACCUGAUAGCCUAUAGUGAUUCUGAUUGGGCAUCUUCUGUAGAAGAUAGACGCAGCACCACAGGGUACUGCUUCAGCCUAACAAAACAAGGCCCUGCAAUUUUCUGGAAGUCAAAGAAACAACCUACAGUGGCUUUGUCGACUUGUGAAGCUGAGUACAUUGGUCUAGCAACCACUACCCAGGAAAGCAUGUACUUAACUCAGCUGUUAAGUGGCAUGGAUAACAGAGUACACAUUUGUACUACGAUUCAUGGAGACAAUCAAGGAGCCAUAGCACUGAGUAAGAAUCCAGUGAACAGACAGAGAUCAAAACACAUUGAUGUAAAGUAUCAUUUCAUACGUGAUGCACUGAGUGAGGGGAAAAUAGACAUUGUUUAUUGCCCAUCAGAAGAAAUGAUUGCAGACAUAUUAACAAAACCUGCAACAAAGAUUAAGAUUACAAAGUUCAAGAAAUGGUUCUUUGGAGACUAAAACCAUGGUUUGGGAUGAUGAGAGCAAGAGGGGGUGUUAGGUUUUAUGUUCUCAUUUGGAAUGCUUGUUUAUGAUACAGUUGUUAUGUGAAGUUGAUGUGUUACCACGUAUUAUCAAAUUAUUAUGUAUUUACUCAUGUUUGUUAAUGCUGUGGAUUGUGUGCCCUGUCAAGCAUGACGUAUGUACAUAUAACGCCCGGCCGGCUGUCGUAAAUGUUGUGAUGAAGCACUUUACGUUACUUCCCACACUAUAUCUUUUUAGCGCAAAGCUGAAGUUGUGACCGAUGUAUUUUCUGGUGCCAAAAUAAUAAAUGAAGCGAACGUAAACAGUAAUGUGUGAUUCCCUUCCUCAAUAUGGAUGCUGAAGCUGGAAACGCAACAUAGGUGAUCAAUGGCUAUCUAACAAGUGUGGGCAGAAAGACAGGAACUCUGAUUUUGGACUUGUAUCUAAUGACCUCAGCCUGGCAAGGAUCUGCUAAAGGUUUUAGAAAGGUGAGAUCAAUUGGUAGGCAGAUGGCUCAGCUGGCUGAGCGGGUAACUUAUAAACAGGGGCUAUAGUCCCUGAUGCAGCAGCCUGGGUUUGAUUCCAGCUCACGACCCUUUGCUGCAGGUCUUCUCCCUAUUCUCCUGUCUGCCUCUACUAACCUGUCUAAAGCCAAAAAUACCCUCUUUUUUUUUUUUUCAAAAAAGGUGAGGGUAUUCAAAAUAAAAUGUAUGUUUAAGGUUUCUAUCUGAUAUUUUGCAGUUAAAUCUACUACAGCAUGAUGUGGCAGCUGGAGCAGUCUGUGAUAAGGCACACUGGACUGUUAGUAAUCUCAACAUAUUUAGACACACAAUAAGAUUUUUUUUUGUCAUGAGACUUAAUUGCAUUUUUGAAGAUCGUGUAUCUGAAGGAAAGGAGGGCACUGUACCUGGAUCCAUUCAGGGCAACAGAGGAACAGAUCAAGAAGUGCAAAGAUGUAACAAGGUGACAUGGCAUGAACAUGAAACAAAAUGGUUGCAUUUGAUAAAAUACUUGUUUACACAUAAUGUGGAUAGUAUCUGGGAGCAAGAUGGCAGUUUUUUUUAUAGGAUUUUUUUUAACAUAUUGCAUUUUUUUUUUCUUUAAUUACCUUGUCCCUCUGAAGUCAACUGCUAAAUUAAAAAUACCUUAUUUGGACUAGCAUUAAAGUUGGUCAACUGUUAAUGUGUUGUGUGCAGAGCACUGGUCCGCACAGUGUGUCCUGCAGUAACAAAGUGGAUGUGUGCAACACUGCCCCAUCCAAAACAGCAGGACUCGACAUCAUGUGGUGUAUUCGUGUGCAAGCUUGCAGAACAAAUUCUACAGAAAAGGAGAUACAGUAUCCUGUAGACCAGGAGGGCGUGGCCAGGCUAAGGCUCGACAUAGCAAUAUCAUUGCUGAAAGAUUCAGGUAAACCUGAGGAGAUUGAGUGCACCACCUGUGGGAGGUGGUACCAUAUGUCUUGUGUGGGGCAUCCACCUACAGAUGGGGACUACCACUGCAAUAGCUGCCAAUAAAUAUGUUAAAUCAAAAGGAAAUGCUGUCUUUUCUCAAUGACAUCACACUCGAGUAUGACACAAUGUACUUCUAUUACUGAUUUGAACAUGAACGUCCUGUGAUUUUUUUUUGUAAAUUGCUGCAUUUCGAGUUCAAUACGUUAAAUACUGCUGGACUGUUUUGGUAAGAUUUUGACGUUUGUGUAUUUAAAUAAGACAGUGUAGCUAGGAUGUGAUCUAAACCUGCCAAUACGGUAUCAAUAUAUUGUUAUACUACAACAUUCUGGCCUUCUACCACACGGUUUGGUGAACUUAUUAAAAUAACGUGUACACCAUGUGCUGGUCUGCUGCUUUAACAGGUUUUAACAGGAAUCGGUGAUCACAGCUCCACUGGUUCCAACUGCACUGACCUAGUUUUUCUUUCUUGUUGCCUGACAGCGCAUGACUCUUACGAUGAGAACGCGUCUAAUUUCCAGAUAUUUUUGUCAGGACCAAAAUGAAUAAAACAGCAGAAAUCUCAUUUUUAGAAGCGAAGUUGUUCCAUUGUUUAUUUCCUGGUUCGUCGGUAAGGGGUCCUGAAAAGCCACGCCUACGAAACAUCUGUCUCAGAAACGCUGCUAUCACCAGUUGAUCGGAACACCAGUUAAUCUUGAACACCGGCAGCUCCGUAAUCACACGUCUGGCAGGUAGUGAUGGCGAGAUGAAGCUUCAUGAAGCAUUGGUUCACUCAUGGUUCGAAGCUUCAUGGUGUUUCAUUUGCUCUACUGCGCCAUCAACUGGACAAAUAAAAGUAAAACAGGCAGAGUGCUUAUAAUGACACACUAGCUUUGCUAUGUGAAGCUUUGAAUUGUGCUUAAAUGAUAAUGCCAAUAAACAAGUAAUAUCCUUAAUAUAGUGUCUGCUUUUCCUGAUAGCAGGAACAGAGGAGGAAAUGGAAACAAAGAGAGA
Molecule: long non-coding RNA, 5930 nt
Organism: Amphiprion ocellaris (clown anemonefish)
Lineage: Eukaryota; Metazoa; Chordata; Actinopteri; Pomacentridae
Exons: 3
Source: RefSeq, a predicted model, not a curated record